RNAcentral lists this transfer RNA (84 nucleotides) under Opitutia bacterium. Its description in RNAcentral is "tRNA-Leu". It matches the Rfam family "tRNA". From Rfam's summary of the family: Transfer RNA (tRNA) molecules are approximately 80 nucleotides in length. Their secondary structure includes four short double-helical elements and three loops (D, anti-codon, and T loops). The record is from RNAcentral. RNAcentral also lists the same sequence under 2 other names. Lineage: Bacteria; Pseudomonadati; Verrucomicrobiota; Opitutia.
GCUCAGGUGGUGGAAUGGUAGACACACACGUUUGAGGUGCGUGUGCUGAAAGGCGUGGGGGUUCGAGUCCCCUCUUGAGCACCA